This is a non-coding RNA of Malus domestica (apple), 364 nucleotides long. NCBI's taxonomy places the organism in Eukaryota, Viridiplantae, Streptophyta, Magnoliopsida, Rosales, Rosaceae. The record is from RefSeq and is a predicted model, not a curated record.
CCCUUCUUAGGGUAAUUCGACGUUCUGAAUCCGUUUCCAACGUCUGUUUUCCCAAAUUCAAUUGUUAAAAUAGAGUUUUAUUAAUUGGACCCUUUAUGUGCUUAGGGGCAAUUAUUGGUGACGUUUUCUUGUUCGUUAGUUUGCGUGGCUCUUCGACGGCUAAGUACUGACUUAGAAUCGAGGCGUACAAUCCCGGCAUCCAGGCACUUCCGCUUCGGUAUCUUCGAGUCCUCUCGAUGUAGGACCCAUUUCUUUGUUCAUCUAAUUUCAUAUUAUUUUCUUUAGUGUUCUAGUUAGUUGUAUGCUCUGAACACGUUCCUUAAAUGCAUAUUCCUUAUUCUUUUACAUUUAUAAGUUUUAUCUA